Molecule: non-coding RNA, 281 nt
Organism: Cinara cedri
Lineage: Eukaryota; Metazoa; Arthropoda; Insecta; Hemiptera; Aphididae
Source: the annotation of a GenBank genome assembly
UGAUGCAAAAGUUUUCUUUGUAUAUACAAUAGAAUUAUUGCACAUAUAAGGUAAAAGCUUUGAGUAAAGUCUCGCAUUAGUUAAUCGGAAAGGAGGAGUAGGUAAAACUACAGCCAGGUAAAUUUAUCAACAGCUUUUGCUGCGGUAAAUAAAACACCUUACUAAUAGAUCUUGAACCCCAGGGAAAUGCAAGUAUUAGACUUGGUUUCUAAUAUAGAAAUCGCACGAAAAUAUAUAACGUACUUGUAAAUAAUAAAUCUAUAUCAUCUUUAACUCUGAUC